This is an unclassified non-coding RNA of Macaca fascicularis (crab-eating macaque), 148 nucleotides long. It matches the Rfam family "Metazoan signal recognition particle RNA". From Rfam's summary of the family: The signal recognition particle (SRP) is a universally conserved ribonucleoprotein. It is involved in the co-translational targeting of proteins to membranes. Lineage: Eukaryota; Metazoa; Chordata; Mammalia; Primates; Cercopithecidae. The record is from Ensembl.
GCUGGGUGUGGUGGCGCACACCUGUAGUCCCAGCUACUCAGGAGGCUGAGGCAGGAGAAUCGCUUGAACCCAGGAGACGGAGGUUGAAGUGAGCUGAAAUGGUGCCACUGCACUCCAGCCUGGGCCACAGAGCGAGACUCUGUCUCAA